GUUCGGCGGACGUGCGGUGAGGGACCCGGGGGACGGCACCGUGAAGCCGAUGGUGCAGCGCCUCCCCCAUCCCAGCCGCCGCUUCCCGGUUUCUUCUCCCGUUUGCACCGAGUCUUUGAUGCGAUGCUGCCUGACGUGCCAUGGAUUUUGAGCAUUUUCUCUCCUCAUUUCAGAUUCCCAGUAUCCACCUGAUUUUGCACGUGAAUUAUUGCUGGUCUUGCUCACAAAACCGAGGCCAGAAGCACAAACUGACAAAUGCAGAUCCCUUUUGCGUCAGGGUGGAUGUCGGAUGUGGAAGUCGUUCCUCACUUUCUUUGAAGCCAGUGUAAACCCUGAGAACAGAAAAUCUCGCUGCCUUUUAUGAAUCCUAUUGUAUAAUCAUUCUAGAAAUAUUUUGCUGAUGACCUGUAAUUACCAGUCGCAAUUUUGAUGAAGUCUGAACAAAUCCGGGAUCUCCAGUGAGGUAUUGACGAGCAUCAGAUUCCAGGUCUAUUUUCUGCAAAAUGUAAUGAAACGGAACAAAGCAAUUAAUUAUUAAUAUCCACAAACUAACAACAAGGAUGUGAUUGGAACCCAUGUGUGUUAAAAAAAUAAACAGAUUAGCAAUCCAUCAGUUUAACCUCUCAGUCACCUGUCUGAGUUUAGAACACAGUCUCACACCCUUUUUCCAUCCUUGAAAACUUGGUAAGAAGGUUCUGAAUGAGCAGCCUGGUGUGCAAUGUUGGAAAUGCAGCUUCUGUAAGUGAAAGGAAUUUCUAUCACAUCAGAUCAGGUGCUGUUUGGAAUGGACUAAUGUGAAACAUUUCCUGACAAAUUAAAUUAUGACAAAAGCAAAAUCCUGUAGAAUGUAUUAAAACCUCAUUGGUUGUUGAACAUUCUGUCAAUUGAAAACAAAACUACUAUUUAAUGUGUUUAAAAAAAUAUACCUGGGUUGAUAUUAAAUACCUGUGUUAAAUCUC
Carcharodon carcharias (great white shark) is the source of this 959-nucleotide long non-coding RNA. RefSeq lists it as uncharacterized. The record is from RefSeq and is a predicted model, not a curated record. Lineage: Eukaryota; Metazoa; Chordata; Chondrichthyes; Lamniformes; Lamnidae. The transcript is spliced from 3 exons.